This 349-nucleotide long non-coding RNA is filed under the name Androctonus crassicauda. Lineage: Eukaryota; Metazoa; Arthropoda; Arachnida; Scorpiones; Buthidae. The record is from RNAcentral.
UCUUCGCCCACAAUACUGAUAGCAAAAAACAGGAAUAAAAGGUUGAGAAAUUUUAGAAAAGUCAGUCAGUUUGGGGGAGCCAGACAACGAGAGACAAAUGGAGAAGCAGAGGGAGAAGAGUGUAACCAAUCAACUCAGUCCAGUGUUAACAAUAAAUAAUCUUUGCCUAUCACUGAGUCUUGCAAUGAAACCUCCAAGCUGUUUUGACCUGAACAACAUUGGAUGGGAAAAUACCGACAGGGAAAGCGCAACAACUAUCAGUGCCGAUCGCAGCGGAACGUUUGUAAUUUGGACUAAAGACUGUGAAAGUAUCAUCGAUUACGCUGAUAAAUUUCAAAGGAAAGAAUCG